CCCCGACGUAGCCCGUCGUAGGAACGACGUAGCGGCGACGGGGGAGUAUACUGAGGCCUUGAGGCCUUGAGGCCUUGAAGGGUGGGAUUCCCCCGGUCCGCACCAGUUAGGCGCCAGCCGAGUCGACCCGCGGCUCCCCUGCCCGCCGCGGGUCCGCAGCUGGGGAGAUCCGCGGGAAGGGCCCGGCGCGCGUCCAGAGUCGCCGCCGGCGGCCGCCUACCACCGACCCGACCCCGUCCGAAACCGACCCGCCGUCCGCGGCAGCGUCGGACACCGCUCCGCGGAGGAACUCACGCGACCCCCGAGGAGAAGGCCUCCCGGACCCGACCGCGCCUCGCGGCGCGGUGGCGGGCCCGGGGUGAGCCGGCCCCCCUCCCCAGCGACGAGAGCAACCCGCGAGGCGGGCCGCGCGGGUUUAUUUAGCGAACGGCAUCGUUACCCUCACUGUUGUAGCCAGGAGAGAUGCUGCAGCAACGUGGAGCUGACAUGCCUGGUGUUCUGGAUGAGGUGGCAGAUUACCUCAAAGACCUGGAAGCCAAACUGGAGAGUGUUUCCCUGCCGUCCCCAGCCAUCUUCAGUCAGUAGUGUGUGUCCGAUGCUCAGAUCAGGUUCUACACAAAAUUUCCAUCCGAGUGUGUGGUUAAGAUCUUUUGGGAACAUGGUGCACCAUCUGCUCCAUUGUUUUCUAUGAGAAUUGAAGUAUAAAUAAA
Salarias fasciatus (jewelled blenny) is the source of this 710-nucleotide long non-coding RNA. RefSeq lists it as uncharacterized. Lineage: Eukaryota; Metazoa; Chordata; Actinopteri; Blenniiformes; Blenniidae. The transcript has 3 exons. The record is from RefSeq and is a predicted model, not a curated record.